Molecule: long non-coding RNA, 237 nt
Filed under: Manihot esculenta (cassava)
Lineage: Eukaryota; Viridiplantae; Streptophyta; Magnoliopsida; Malpighiales; Euphorbiaceae
Description: long non-coding RNA (MESC_LNC012897)
Source: RNAcentral
UUGAUGUGGAUGAACAUUGAAUGAUCCAUUAGCCCUCGUAUGUUAUGAUAUGAUAUGAUGAUGAUAUGGUAUGGAAGUCCAGGUGUGGCCUGCACUACGCCCCUGGCACAAUGUAAGAGAAAGUCCGGGUGUGGCCUGCACUACGCCCCCGGCACGAAUGGAUAUGUAUGUUAUGUUAUGUGUAAGAGAAAGACCAGGUGUGGCCUGCACUACGCCCCUGGCAUGAUUGGAUUGUGU